UACAGAGGGUGCAAGCGUUAAUCGGAAUUACUGGGCGUAGAGCGCACGCAGGCGGUUGGUUAAGUCAGAUGUGAAAGCCCCGGGCUCAACCUGGGAAUUGCAUUUGAAACUGGCCAACUAGAGUACGUGAGAGGGGGGUAGAAUUCCAAGUGUAGCGGUGAAAUGCGUAGAGAUUUGGAGGAAUACCAGUGGCGAAGGCGGCCCCCUGGCACGAUACUGACGCUCAGGUGCGAAAGCGUGGGGAGCAAACAGG
This 253-nucleotide ribosomal RNA is filed under the name uncultured bacterium. RNAcentral describes it as "partial 16S ribosomal RNA". It matches the Rfam family "Bacterial small subunit ribosomal RNA", at positions 524 to 776 of the family's 1533-position model. The record is from RNAcentral.